UACAGAGGUGGCGAGCGUUGUUCGGAUUUACUGGGCGUAAAGGGUGCGUAGGUGGUAUUGUGUGUCGGGCGUGAAAGCUCACCGCUUAACGGUGAAAGGCCGUCCGAAACUACAAAACUUGAGUGCAGGAGAGGAGAGCGGAAUACUUGGUGUAGCGGUGGAAUGCGUUGAGAUCAAGUAGAACACCGGUGGCGUAGGCGGCUCUCUGGAAUGCUACUGACACUGAGGCACGAAAGUUGGGGGAG
Molecule: ribosomal RNA, 245 nt
Filed under: uncultured bacterium
Lineage: Bacteria
Description: partial 16S ribosomal RNA
Rfam family: Bacterial small subunit ribosomal RNA
Source: RNAcentral